Molecule: ribosomal RNA, 891 nt
Filed under: Bacillus sp. (in: firmicutes)
Lineage: Bacteria; Bacillati; Bacillota; Bacilli; Caryophanales; Bacillaceae
Description: bacterial SSU rRNA
Rfam family: Bacterial small subunit ribosomal RNA
Source: RNAcentral
GGUACCCUCGUUAGAGUGAGACCCUGCGCUCGGGGGGGGUGGGUCUCCGCCCCUAAAAGGUUAGCGGCGGACGGGUGAGUAACACGUGGGCAACCUGCCUGUAAGACUGGGAUAACUUCGGGAAACCGGAGCUAAUACCGGAUAAUAUAAGGAACCUCCUGGUUCUUUAUUGAAAGAUGGUUUCGGCUAUCACUUACAGAUGGGCCCGCGGCGCAUUAGCUAGUUGGUGAGGUAACGGCUCACCAAGGCGACGAUGCGUAGCCGACCUGAGAGGGUGAUCGGCCACACUGGGACUGAGACACGGCCCAGACUCCUACGGGAGGCAGCAGUAGGGAAUCUUCCACAAUGGACGAAAGUCUGAUGGAGCAACGCCGCGUGAGCGAUGAAGGCCUUCGGGUCGUAAAGCUCUGUUGUUAGGGAAGAACAAGUGCGAGAGUAACUGCUCGCACCUUGACGGUACCUAACCAGAAAGCCACGGCUAACUACGUGCCAGCAGCCGCGGUAAUACGUAGGUGGCAAGCGUUGUCCGGAAUUAUUGGGCGUAAAGCGCGCGCAGGUGGUCCUUUAAGUCUGAUGUGAAAGCCCACGGCUCAACCGUGGAGGGUCAUUGGAAACUGGGGGGACUUGAGUGCAGAAGAGGGAAAGUGGAAUUCCAAGUGUAGCGGUGAAAUGCGUACAGAUUUGAGGAACACCAGUGGCGAAGGCGACUUUCUGGUCUGUAACUGACACUGGAGGGGCGAAAGCGUGGGGAGCAGACGGAUUAGAUACCCUGGGUAGUCCACGCCCUACACGAGGAGUGCGAAUGUUUAAAGGGUUUUCCGCCCCUUUAGGGCGUCAGCUAACGCAUUAAGCACUCCGCCGGGGGAUUACAGCGCCAGAAUGGAAACUCGA